Molecule: ribosomal RNA, 481 nt
Filed under: uncultured bacterium
Lineage: Bacteria
Description: bacterial SSU rRNA
Rfam family: Bacterial small subunit ribosomal RNA
Source: RNAcentral
CUACGUGCCAGCAGCCGCGGUAAUACGGAGGAUGCGAGCGUUAUCCGGAUUUAUUGGGUUUAAAGGGUGCGUAGGUUGUUCGGUAAGUCAGCGGUGAAACCUGAGCGCUCAACGUUCAGCCUGCCGUUGAAACUGGCGGACUUGAGUGCACGCAACGUAUGCGGAAUUCAUGGUGUAGCGGUGAAAUGCUUAGAUAUCAUGACGAACUCCGAUUGCGAAGGCAGCGUACGGGAGUGUUACUGACGCUUAAGCUCGAAGGUGCGGGUAUCGAACAGGAUUAGAUACCCUGGUAGUCCGCACGGUAAACGAUGGAUGCCCGCUGUUAGCGCCUGGCGUUAGCGGCUAAGCGAAAGCAUUAAGCAUCCCACCUGGGGAGUACGCCGGCAACGGUGAAACUCAAAGGAAUUGACGGGGGCCCGCACAAGCGGAGGAACAUGUGGUUUAAUUCGAUGAUACGCGAGGAACCUUACCCGGGCUUGAA